ACGGGUGAGUAACGCGUAAGAACCUACCUUAUGGUGAGGGAUACCAACUGGAAACGGUUGCUAAUACCUCAUAUGCUGAGAAGUAAAAGGUGUACUACAUCGCCAUAAGAGGGGCUUGCGUCGGAUUAGCUAGUAGGUGGGGUAACGGCUCACCUAGGCGACGAUCCCUAGCUGGUCUGAGAGGAUGACCAGCCACACUGGAACUGAGACACGGUCCAGACUCCUACGGGAGGCAGCAGUGGGGAAUAUUGCACAAUGGGCGCAAGCCUGAUGCAGCCAUGCCGCGUGUAUGAAGAAGGCCUUCGGGUUGUAAAGUACUUUCAGCGGGGAGGAAGGCGACGUGGUUAAUAACCGCGUCGAUUGACGUUACCCGCAGAAGAAGCACCGGCUAACUCCGUGCCAGCAGCCGCGGUAAUACGGAGGGUGCAAGCGUUAAUCGGAAUUACUGGGCGUAAAGCGCACGCAGGCGGUCUGUCAAGUCGGAUGUGAAAUCCCCGGGCUUAACCUGGGAACUGCAUUCGAAACUGGCAGGCUAGAGUCUUGUAGAGGGGGGUAGAAUUCCAGG
Molecule: ribosomal RNA, 565 nt
Filed under: uncultured bacterium
Lineage: Bacteria
Description: bacterial SSU rRNA
Rfam family: Bacterial small subunit ribosomal RNA
Source: RNAcentral